GUCGUCAGCUCGUGUCGUGAGAUGUUGGGUUAAGUCCCGCAACGAGCGCAACCCUUGGUGUUUAGUUGCAAACAGGUCAAGCUGUGCACUCUAGACAGACUGCCGUGGACGAACACGGAGGAAGGUGGGGAUGACGUCAAGUCAGCAUGGCCCUUACGUCCGGGGCUACACACGUGCUACAAUGGCCGGUACAAAGGGUUGCGAAGCCGUGAGGUGGAGCGAAUCUCAAAAAGCCGGCCUCAAGUUCGGAUUGGAGGCUGCAACUCGCCUCCAUGAAGUCGGAAUCGCUAGUAACCGCAGAUCAGCUACGUUGCGGUGAAUACGUUCCCGGGCCUU
Molecule: ribosomal RNA, 336 nt
Filed under: uncultured bacterium
Lineage: Bacteria
Description: bacterial SSU rRNA
Rfam family: Bacterial small subunit ribosomal RNA
Source: RNAcentral